AACGAACGCUGGCGGCAGGCUUAACACAUGCAAGUCGAGCGCCCCGCAAGGGGAGCGGCAGACGGGCGAGUAACGCGUGGGAAUCUACCCUUUUCUACGGAAUAACGCAGGGAAACUUGUGCUAAUACCGUAUGAGCCCUUCGGGGGAAAGAUUUAUCGGGAAAGGAUGAGCCCGCGUUGGAUUAGCUAGUUGGUGGGGU
Molecule: ribosomal RNA, 200 nt
Filed under: uncultured bacterium
Lineage: Bacteria
Description: partial 16S ribosomal RNA
Rfam family: Bacterial small subunit ribosomal RNA
Source: RNAcentral